RNAcentral lists this long non-coding RNA (534 nucleotides) under Citrus sinensis (sweet orange). Its description in RNAcentral is "long non-coding RNA (CSIN_LNC000017)". Lineage: Eukaryota; Viridiplantae; Streptophyta; Magnoliopsida; Sapindales; Rutaceae. The record is from RNAcentral.
GCGACAGGUCGACCUCCUCCGCCGUCCAAAAUGAAGCUUCGGCUUUCUUGUACAUUUCCCAGAUUUCCGGGUACUGGAUUGGAAACAUGCAGAAUCGGUCUGGGUUCGGGGUUAGCAGCGGCUCUUCGGGGAUUGAUGGCAUUUUGGUAAUUUUCAAUGUUAAUACUAGGUUUAGGGCUUUUCUUUUCGUCGAAGAUGAGGGGAGCGAUGUUUCUGUGCAUUCUUAUAGAGGAGGUUGAGAGGGUAUUGAAAUUUUUGGAUAAGGGGUAAUUCAGAUAUUUAAGAAAAAUUUCGGUGACGUGGUUUAUUUUUGUGUGGUGCUAAGAUAUUUUGCGAGUGUGAAAUUACUUACUUAGAACGUCAAUUGUUUAAAUUCUGAAAAUGGUUUUGAAAUUUUGGGCAGCAAGGCUUGGAGGGGAAGCUUUUAAAGUGAAGGUGUGCGAGGGAAGCUUUCUUCUUAGGGGAAAAUUCAUUCAAGUAAUCCGAGUGUUUUGAUUAUUUUUAAUUGAACAAGAGUUAUUAACUCAAAAUCCG